UACGAAGGGGGCUAGCGUUGUUCGGAAUUACUGGGCGUAAAGCGCACGUAGGCGGACUAUUAAGUCAGGGGUGAAAUCCCGGGGCUCAACCCCGGAACUGCCUUUGAUACUGGUAGUCUCGAGUCCGGAAGAGGUGAGUGGAAUUCCGAGUGUAGAGGUGAAAUUCGUAGAUAUUCGGAGGAACACCAGUGGCGAAGGCGGUUGCCUGGAGCUUUGCUGACGCUGAGGCGCGAAAGCGUGGGGAGCGAUCCGG
This 253-nucleotide ribosomal RNA is filed under the name uncultured bacterium. RNAcentral's name for it is "partial 16S ribosomal RNA". It matches the Rfam family "Bacterial small subunit ribosomal RNA", at positions 524 to 776 of the family's 1533-position model. The record is from RNAcentral.